RNAcentral lists this long non-coding RNA (1204 nucleotides) under Homo sapiens (human). Its description in RNAcentral is "non-protein coding lnc-DAAM2-9:9". Lineage: Eukaryota; Metazoa; Chordata; Mammalia; Primates; Hominidae. The record is from RNAcentral.
CUAACGGGAUAACUGCCAGAGCAGAAGACAGUUGGCAGUUAUUUCGCAACCUUCAUCUGUUCCUGGAAGAUACCCGUAGCCUGCCUUCCUUCUUGACAGGCUGAUUUAGGGGUGCUCCCCAAGAAGAUCAGGACUGCUGAAAGAAUGAAGAAGAACUUACUUGGCCUAGGAUGUGGCUAGAGAACGGAGCGCACUUUCACUUACCUGGCAAGGUGGUUUUGGAAGUUUCCACGGAAGCCUUCCCAGGGCCGCUGCUGCCCGUCCUCGCCUAGGUGUGGAGCUUCCCGACCGGCUGGGGAGGGAAUGUCCUGCGGGAGCCGCCGAGGACCCUCUUUAGCCUCUUCCCUGGCUUGGCUGCAGCUGCAGUCUGGUACUCGCCCAUUCUGCUCUUCUUCACCUCCGUAUUUUCUCUCUCACGGAAGAAGAAUUCCAUUCUCCCAUCCCAGGAAGGAGAGUGCCCUGCGUGCCACGAAAGAGCCCAGGACCCACAGGACAAAUACGUCACUGGCAGACCUGCCUUCGCCAGCGCCAGCCCAUCUCUGAAACCUCCAGCAUUUGUGCCCCGGUCCGGCCCCUCCCAGGCCUGACUCUUUCCGAACGGUCACUGCGCAGGAUCAAGCUACAAUGAAGAGGAGGGAGGCAGUCUGCGCGCACCGCCAUUUUCUAGGAACUGGGAAGCCCCCCCACCCCUUAGGAAGAUCCAUCCCUGUGGAACCUUGCCCAGGCUUACCAGCCUUUGCUGAGGUUGAUCUAUUGUCCCUCCUUGUCCCCAUCAAAAUAUCCAGCACUCCACCUUCAGGGAGUAGACUUGACCCUCAAAUAGCAAGUUCAGCCUUCCCAGGUCUAGGUUCCCUGGGAGGUCAAGAUUCGUCUGGUUCCUUAGUACAGAGGGCUAGCUGUGAGUUGGAAUCCCCCUAUGAGCUUUAGAAUCAGUCAAGAGGAAUUGGGCCCCUUCCCUUCAUCCCUCUUCUUUUCCCUUUUUGUCCCAGAGCUCAGCUCUGACUCAAAAGUUUUUCCAUUUACCAUCAACAUGGAAACUUGGCUCCUCACGUAGGUAUAUUAUCCCCCUUUUGUACAUGGUCUUGUUGAUCCAAACUCCCUUUCUGUGAAAGAGGCCUGUGGGGCUCAAGAAGCCUGGUCAGCCAGCCAGGCUAGUCCCACAUACCUCAGAACCAGUUUAAUAAAGGCUCUAUGUCAUUCUUUU